UACGAAGGGUGCAAGCGUUACUCGGAAUUACUGGGCGUAAAGGGUGCGCAGGCCGCGCGGACAGUCAAAUGUGAAAUUCAGGGGCUCAACCCCUGCAUUGCGCUUGAUACUUCCGCGCUCGAGCCUUGGAAAGGAGUCUGGAAUUCUCGGUGUAGCAGUGAAAUGCGUAGAUAUCUGGAGGAACACCGGUGGCGAAGGCGGCAUCCUGGACCGACACUGACACUGAGGAGCGAAAGCCAGGGGAGCAAACGGG
RNAcentral lists this ribosomal RNA (253 nucleotides) under uncultured bacterium. Its description in RNAcentral is "partial 16S ribosomal RNA". It matches the Rfam family "Bacterial small subunit ribosomal RNA", at positions 524 to 776 of the family's 1533-position model. The record is from RNAcentral.